UCUGCUACAUUUGCAGUUGGAGCCAUGGGU
This 30-nucleotide non-coding RNA is filed under the name Rattus norvegicus (Norway rat). Lineage: Eukaryota; Metazoa; Chordata; Mammalia; Rodentia; Muridae. The record is from RNAcentral.